Molecule: long non-coding RNA, 344 nt
Organism: Aquila chrysaetos chrysaetos
Lineage: Eukaryota; Metazoa; Chordata; Aves; Accipitriformes; Accipitridae
Exons: 3
Source: RefSeq, a predicted model, not a curated record
CCCUCACACUACCCUAGCAGAUUUGGACUGGAUCCUGCCCGAAGCAAGCUUCUUUUGACUUCACCCGCGCUUGUUGCUGGGAAAACCUAGGUGUUUCACACCAGGUGGAAACCUGAGAACCUGCUAACGCCCAGUGUUUCUAAGGUUAAGACCUCAAGAGCCAUAUUUUCAAGUUUUUCUGGCAACCUAUUAAUUUAUUAAUGAAAACUGAGAUUCCCACAGUCACAUGAACCCAGGCUUCAGAAAAACACUGAAUGAUUUGUAAAGUAAAUAGAGGAUACCCAAAUGCUUUCCUACUGGCGAUACUCUACACAGACAGACUGACCAGCCUGAUAAUCUCCAUG